This is a long non-coding RNA of Aedes aegypti (yellow fever mosquito), 192 nucleotides long. RefSeq lists it as uncharacterized. The transcript has 2 exons. The record is from RefSeq and is marked validated. Lineage: Eukaryota; Metazoa; Arthropoda; Insecta; Diptera; Culicidae.
AAUCCAUUUGGCAUGUGCACAUAUAAAAGCCUUCCGAGCGCCAGAGUUUGGUAUCAUAUUCAAUUCUCGUCAGAUCAGAGGAAGUACGGAAAGAUGGCAAAAUUUGUGACAAUUUGUUUUUGGAUGCUCGUAGCAAUAGUUUCCAUCCAUGCCAAACCGGCGUCACCGGAUGCAGAUGCAACGAUCACGAAA